RNAcentral lists this ribosomal RNA (503 nucleotides) under uncultured bacterium. Its description in RNAcentral is "partial 16S ribosomal RNA". It matches the Rfam family "Bacterial small subunit ribosomal RNA", at positions 30 to 523 of the family's 1533-position model. The record is from RNAcentral.
AUUGAACGCUGGCGGCAGGCUUAACACAUGCAAGUCGAGCGGGGUGAUGGUGCUUGCACUAUCACUUAGCGGCGGACGGGUGAGUAAUGCUUAGGAAUCUGCCUAUUAGUGGGGGACAACAUCUCGAAAGGGAUGCUAAUACCGCAUACGUCCUACGGGAGAAAGCAGGGGAUCACUUGUGACCUUGCGCUAAUAGAUGAGCCUAAGUCGGAUUCGCUAGAUGGUGGGGUAAAGGCCUACCAAGGCGACGAUCUGUAGCGGGUCUGAGAGGAUGAUCCGCCACACUGGGACUGAGACACGGCCCAGACUCCUACGGGAGGCAGCAGUGGGGAAGAUUGGACAAUGGGGGGAACCCCGAUCCAGCCAUGCCGCGUGUGUGAAGAAGGCCUUAUGGUUGUAAAGCACUUUAAGCGAGGAGGAGGCUCUUUUGGUUAAUACCCAAGAUGAGUGGACGUUACUCGCAGAAUAAGCACCGGCUAACUCUGUGCCAGCCGCCGCGGUAA